This is an RNA transcript of Phymastichus coffea, 2559 nucleotides long. It is a transcript of the gene named solute carrier family 23 member 2, with no coding region annotated. The record is from RefSeq and is a predicted model, not a curated record. NCBI's taxonomy places the organism in Eukaryota, Metazoa, Arthropoda, Insecta, Hymenoptera, Eulophidae. The transcript has 13 exons.
AAGCUUUAUUGAAACCGAGGGUACAACCUAUAAGGCCAGUGUGGCGGAUAUACAGCAUUUUAAAUGACAGUAUCGGACAGCAAUGUGUAUAAAUUACAAUACAAAACGCAGUAUAAUAUGACAACGGCGAUGAUAAAUUUGUACUUAAAAUAGCGCAUUCGAGAGAGAGAGAGAGAGAGAGCAAAUGAUUGUUGUUAACAAUGCGGCUGGCGAACGCAACUUCGCAAGUGUGAAGUCUCAGCAACAUCGCACUUUAACAAUAAUCAGCAAUAUUAACACGGAUAACGCUUGACGGCAAUUGAUUAGCGCAAUUAGAUAGCGCGAAGAUCUCGCUCACCAACGAUUUCUCUGCUUUGAUCCUUUUUUCUCGAUCGCGUUUUUAACGAUCAACGCCUUGCAUAAUACGUCAUUGGCCACAGCUAGGCGUCGAAUGCUGAUUCUGCGAUUGAAUAAGAGCUCUUUUAUCGCAGAAAAUGGCACGAAGUACCUUUUGCAUAAGAUUUGCGUGCAGCAUCCAGUUAUAGCUGCUGCUUCGAUCGCUCUGCUCUCGAGAAUUUUCCGUUUACCUGUAAAACCGGCGACUUAUCUUGCUUCGAAUGUUAAAUCACAUUUUCAGAGAGUGGCUGACAGUGACAGCAACGGACAAGCCCUUGCGAACAAUCGCCAAGAGUCGGAACAACCAACUACUCUUCGCCAGUCCGACUUGACUUAUGGGAUUGACGAUGUACCUCCGUGGUACCUCUGCUUGUUCAUGGCUUUUCAACACUACUUGACGAUGAUCGGCGCCAUAGUCUCAAUACCGUUUAUUCUGACACCGGCCCUCUGCAUGGCAGAAGACGACUCUGCCCGCAGUCACAUCAUCUCGACAAUGAUCUUCGUCAGUGGUCUCGUCACGUUCCUGCAAACGACCGUUGGCUGCCGCCUUCCCUUGGUGCAAGGUGGUACGAUAUCAUUUUUAGUACCGACGCUUGCCAUUUUAAAUUUACCUCAAUGGAAAUGUCCAGCAGAGGAAGUUUUAAACACUCUACCUGUCGAAGAACGAACAGAAUUGUGGCAAAUACGAAUGAGAGAGCUUUCAGGUGCAAUCGCCAUUUCUGCGCUUUUCCAAGUCAUUGUUGGUUAUUGCGGUUUCAUUGGUUAUAUGUUGAAAUAUGUCACCCCACUUACAAUUGUACCAACAGUUUCAUUAGUUGGACUAUCACUUUUUGAAAAUGCAGCUGAUGCAGCUUCGAAACAUUGGGGAAUAUCUACUGGAACAAUUAUUAUGUUGACAUUGUACUCACAAGUUUUAGUCAAUGUCAAUUUCCCCAUCAUAGUUUAUAAAAAAGGUCAAGGAUUUCAAAUUACUUGGUUUGCAUUAUUUAAAUUAUUUCCCGUUUUACUUACCAUAAUUGUCAUGUGGAUCAUUUGUGCCAUUGUAACUGUCACUGAUGCUUUACCACCAGGCCAUCCAGGAAGAAUAGACACCAAAAUAAAAAUUAUCAGUGAUUCGCCCUGGGUCCGAUUCCCUUAUCCUGGUCAAUGGGGUACUCCCACAAUAACUCUAUCUGGAGUACUUGGUAUGCUUGCUGGAGUACUGGCAUGUACAGUGGAGUCCAUCAGUUACUAUCCAACAACUUCAAAAAUGUGUGGUGCUCCUCCACCACCAGUUCAUGCAAUUAAUCGAGGGAUUGGUAUAGAGGGGCUCGGUACUGUUUUAGCUGGUUUAUGGGGAAGUGGAAAUGGUACCAAUACUUUUGGAGAAAAUGUAGGAACUAUUGGAGUAACCAAAGUUGGCAGCCGCAGAGUUAUUCAAUGGGCUUGUGUUUUGAUGAUUCUUCAAGGAGUGAUUAGCAAAUUAGGAGCAGUGUUUAUUAUUAUACCAGAACCCAUUAUUGGAGGUAUAUUUUGUGUAAUGUUUGGUAUGAUAGCUGCAUUUGGCUUUUCUGCUCUUCAAUAUAUUGAUUUAAAUUCAGCUCGAAAUCUGUAUAUUCUUGGUUUUUCUGUAUUUUUCCCUCUGGUACUAUCAAAGUGGAUCACUAAGCACCCAACAGUCAUAAAUACCGGCAAUGAGGUAGCGGAUGGAGUAAUUACAGUUCUUUUGAGUACAACAAUUCUUGUUGGUGGUUUUAUAGGUUGUUUUUUAGAUAAUUUCAUUCCAGGGACGUCCAAGGAAAGAGGUUUAGAUGCUUGGGCAAAGGAAUUAAAUUUGGAUACAACAAAUGAUAACAGUGCUAUAGGUGCUCAAACAGAAUAUAAGUACAAUACUUUUGAUUUACCAUUUGGAAUGGAUCUGUUAAGAAGGUGGAAGUGGACAUCGUACUUACCGUUUUCGCCAACUUACAAGUCGAGGCCAUUUUUGUGCGGACGACAGCCGAAGAAUAAUUAAUACAAGAGCGAAGUAUUUUAUUAUAUAUAGCUAUGAACUUUUAAAUUAUUACGAUUUGGAAUGUGGAGCGUUCCUCAUCAUUGCUAUGCUUUCACGUCGAUAUAUUUGUAUGCACACAUAAUAUUACCUCCCCUAGCCCAGCUUGCGCCUGACGCUAUAAAUAAAUUAUAAAAAAAUUAUGUAAAUCGAUA